ACUCCUACGGGAGGCAGCAGUGGGGAAUAUUGCACAAUGGGCGCAAGCCUGAUGCAGCAACGCCGUGUGAGUGAAGAAGGUUUUCGGAUCGUAAACUCUGUCCUAAGGGAAGAAACAAAUGACGGUACCUUAGGAGGAAGCCCCGGCUAACUACGUGCCAGCAGCCGCGGUAAUACGUAGGGGGCAAGCGUUAUCCGGAAUCACUGGGCGUAAAGGGUGCGUAGGCGGCUUAGCAAGCCAGGGUGAAAGGCAUUGGCUCAACCAAUGUAAGCCUUUGGAACUGUUAAGCUUGAGUGCAGGAGAGGUAAGUGGAAUUCCUAGUGUAGAGGUGAAAUUCGUAGAUAUUAGGAGGAACACCAGUGGCGAAGGCGACUUACUGGACUGUAACUGACGCUGAUGCACGAAAGCGUGGGUAGCGAACAGGAUUAGAUACCCUGGUAGCGACUGA
Molecule: ribosomal RNA, 448 nt
Filed under: uncultured bacterium
Lineage: Bacteria
Description: bacterial SSU rRNA
Rfam family: Bacterial small subunit ribosomal RNA
Source: RNAcentral